Long non-coding RNA from Acanthochromis polyacanthus (spiny chromis), 7416 nucleotides. RefSeq lists it as uncharacterized. NCBI's taxonomy places the organism in Eukaryota, Metazoa, Chordata, Actinopteri, Pomacentridae. The transcript has 3 exons. The record is from RefSeq and is a predicted model, not a curated record.
CUUCUUCCUCCACUUCGCUGCUGCUUCUUCGCCUGUUGCAAUGCGGCAGCUUCAGCCUUCUUCUGCGAGCGACUGUCGGCCGUUUUAGUCCCCGACGACGACGGGGCGAACACACCGACCUGUGCGCGAGCUGCCACCCACGCGCGUGCCGAACACCUGAGCAGGUCCCGCGCCGUGUUUGAGGAAAAGUGUCCGGGAGCGAGGAGGCGGCGGCGGCGGCGAGAGGAGAUGGAAACACAGCGGUACGUGACGGUCCAGGAACCGACCAGCCUCCUCCCGUGUUCCGUCCCUCUAUUCUACUCUAGGUAGUGGUGCUGGUGGUCUGGUGGCAUGGACAUUGCGCUCUUCCCCUGCAUCUCCACCCCGAGGGGAAUGCUGCUUCUAACUACCCACGCUUUCUGUUUUCUGUCUUUUUCCUCUCUCUUUCUGUUUUUUUUUUAUAUCUCCCAAUGUCCUAUGAGCGGUGUUGAUAAUAUUUCUCGCAGUCUAACCCUCCGCUAGCCUCUGUCUCCCUGCUUUUUCUUUGUCCUGACUCUGGCUACCAGUCUCCCUCCUCCUCCUCUGCCUGCCUCUGCUGGCGGGGCUGCGGCGCAGACACACAUAAUAAAGCCAAGGCAGGCAGUGCUUGGCUGGAAAUGUAGCCGCGUCCCAGCAGGGGGAUGUGAGAGAAGGGUCCCGGCGGGGGAGCGCUCUGAUCCCGCAGGGAGCAGCUCGGCACAGCCCGGGUUGGCUGAGGCAGAGAGGCAGGAGAGAGGCAGGCUGGGCUGGCGGAGAGAGAGAGCGGAGGCAGGGGGAAAGUGAGGUAACAGCGCCCAGCCGUGGCCGAGCGGCGCCACUGCAACGGGGACCCUGAGAAUACGGAAGGAGGAGACGCAGGGAAAAUGUGGAGUUGGACUGAAGGGAGAGGUGGAGGAGGUUUCUGUGAUUUAAAGUGAGGUAUAAGGGAAUGAGGGGUCAGUAUGCACAAACAUUAUGUCUAUAAUGUCCCCGAAAUAACAUUUCUACUCAUGUCCUACUGCUCUAUUUAUGACUUUUUCUAAUGCAAUAACAUAUGUCUUCAGGUGCAACAAUUUUUAUCAUGUAACACUGUUUCCUAUUUUUGUAUCUCUUCCAGUGGAACAGCAUUGGUUUAGCACUGUUUUCUCUCCUUAUAGCUUUUUCAGUGCAACGAUAUCUAAACUCUGUUUCUUCUCAUUGUAGUUCUUGAAGUGCUGCAACAUUUUAACCAUCUUUUCUAUAUAUAUCUCCUAUUGCAACAUUUUAAUACUGGUUUUUGUCUCUAUCUCUUCCAGUGCAACAACAUUAGUUUAGCACUGUCAGACUUAGCACCUCUACGCAUGUCCAACUGCUCUGUUUAUAUUGUUUUCUAAUGCAAUACCAUCGUCUAGCACUGCUUUCUCUGCAGAGCCCUUCAGGUGCAACAAUUUCUAUCAUGUAACACUGUUUCCUGUCUUUAUGUCUCUUCUAGUGCAGCAGCAUUAGUUUAGCACAGUUUCCUGUCCUUACAGUGUUUUCAGUGCAACAACCAUUUUUAAUACUGUUUUUUCUCUUGAUAUCUCUUCUAAUGCUGCCAUCUUUUAACACUGUUUUCUCUAUACGCAGUAUAUAUAUUGCAACAUUUUAAUACUGUUUUUUAUCUCUAUCUCUUCCAGUGCAACAACAUUAGUUUAGCACUGUUGCGUUGUCACAAUCAACACUUCUACUCAUGUCCAACUCCUCUAUUUAUAUCUGUUUCUAAUUCAAGAACAUCAUCUUCUCUUCACAACCCUUCAGGUGCAACAGUUUUCAUCAUGUAGCACUGUUUCCUGCCUUCAUACCUCUUCCAGUGCAACAGCAUUAGUUUAGCUGUGUUUCCUGUCCUUGUAGCUUUUUCAGUGCAACAUCUCCUGUUUCUUUUCCCUAUAGCUCUACCAGUGUACCAGCAUUUCUUUAUCAUUGUUUUUUCCAUCUGUCUCUUCUAGUGCAACAACAUUUUUCACACUUUUUUUCUCUAUAUGAGAUCUAUACAAUGAAGCAUUUUAACACAGUGUUUUGUCGAUCUCUAGCAAUGCAACAGUAGUUUAGCACUGGUGCACUGUCAGACCUAACACUUAUACUCAUGUUCAACUACUCUGUUUCUAACGUUUUCUAAUGCAAAAACAUCAUCUAAUGCUGUUUUCUCUUCACAACCCUUCAGGUGCAACAAUUUUCAUCAUCUAACACAUUUUUUUUCCUCUUACGGCUUCUCCAGUGCAACAACAUCAAUUUAACACUGUUUUUCUUCUCCUAAUAUCUCUUCCAAUGCAACAUUUUUAAACACUUUAAUUUUUUUUAUCCCUAUAGCUCUUCCAGUGCAACAGCAUUAGUUUCGCACUGUUAGAAUUCAUACUGCUAGUCAUAUCCAGCUACUCUGUCAAAAAAAAAGUUUUCUGAAAAUCUAUCAAAACGGAGUUACCUGUUUUUACAAAUGAACUCUUCAUAUAUAGAUAUAUAGAUAUAGAUAUAUAUAAAAUGCAACAUUUUAAUACUGUUUUUUGUCUCUAUCUCGGCCCAGUGCAACAACGUUUUUGAACAUUGUUUUUAUCCUUAUAUCUUUUCCAGUGCAACAUUAGUUUAUGCAACACUUCACACUUCUACUCAUGUCCAGCUACUCUAUAACUUUUUCUAAUGCAACAACAUAUUAUAAUGCUGUUUUCUCUUCACAGCCCUUCAGAUGCAGCAAUUUUCAUAAGUUUUCUUUAUAUCUCUUCAAGUGCAGCAACAUCAAUUUAACACUUUUUUUUAGUCUUUAUGUCUCUUCCAGUGCUGCGGCAUUAGUUUAACAUUGUUUCCUCUCAUGCAUUGCCUUAUUAUAUCUUUAUUUUAAUCCUUAGUCUACUUUUUAUAUUACUUGUCAUGCUUCCUCAGAGCAAAUACAUUUCCCCAAUAAGGGAUCAAUAAAGUUGAUCUUAUCUUACACAUAUGACUGCAACUCUUGCACAUUGUACAUUGCACUUUUCUAUCUGUUUUCCUCAUUGUUUAAGAUUUUUUUCUAUAUUAAAGAAUGUUUUUUUAUCAUUAGUUGUCGAUAUUGCAUAGCCUUGUGUUUCACUCACACAAAUGAAGAUCUUGAAUAUUGAAUCUUGAAUGUCCCAGUGAUUGAACGAUUAUCUCACCGAGUCAAAUUGAUGCUUGAGUGCUAUGAGCAACUCUUGAACAACACACAUUUCACUUUUCUAUCUUUUUACUCGGAAAAAUGGAGUAAAAUCGGUGAUAUUCAUCCACUUGUAUAUUCAUUGUACCCCACAUGGACCAAAAUUUGUUAUGGGCAGCUGAAGUUGUCACAGAGUGUGUCAACUUACUAACAACAACAAGAACUAACAAGAUUUUUUCUUUACCCUUUACGAUGUAUGUCACAGAUCUCCUCUAAGUUUGAUUAUCACCUGGUUCUCACCUUGCACUGUGAGCUCAAUCACCACAUCCUGUGAUCAUCUUCACAGGCUUUUGUAUACAUUCAAACUCUGUACGGUCUUUGUUUUCAGUAGAUUUUGUAAGUUAAAUAUUGAGGCUGCAGAAUGACUCUUAGAUAUAUGUAUUUCAUAAGAUCUAAGUGGUCCAUUGCCUUUUCUUACAUGCAUAUAUCAUCCAGUAUGAUUUUCAUUCCCCUAAAUAAUCACAAUCCUUGUAUUUUAGCUUCUAUGACUGCAGCAUGUCUAUUAAAUGCAUGUAAACAGAAUGAAAACUGCCUGCUUGGACAUAUACUCAAUUAUAAUUUCAGUUGUGGAUCAAAACACCAUGUUCUGAGCAGACAGCGGGAACAAAACAGUGUUUGUUAGUUUAACUGUGAGCAAGAACAAAAGCAUAUCUACAGUUACAGUACACCUUUCGGAAUCUUUCUUCUGUCUCUGCAAACCAGUAACUGAUAGAAACUCUGCUGGAAUUUUUCUUUUGCCUCCUUGUUUAUCCAAAGUUUGAACAGCAAGUUGGAUGAAAACAUGGUCACACAUGGACAGCGAGAUUUCUCUUAUUUGACUGAGCCAGAUGUGGAACACGACUUCACCUAAAUGAGUCCAAAUUUGUCCUUGCAGCUGCGGCUGUGGAGGCCUGAGUCACCGUGCAAGCUGGAAAUAGACUUUUAUUUCUAUUUCUAGGCAUGUGUUCAUGCACAAGCACACAUGAAGCUUCUUUUAGACAAAAAUGAACCGAAGACGGUUUAAAUUAGGUUUUUGGUGACAGAAACAAGAGAAGUUUUCACCUUUUCUGCAUCAACAUUCUUCACAUAAAGGGGUUUUAGGUACAUUUGUAAUUUGAAAGCUAUCUUUUCUCACCACCCUCCUCGUAGAGACAUGAGUUCAAAUUUUGUGUUUGUUUUAUAUUUUGUCCAGAUACUCAGGAAAAAGCCUCACAAACCACAACAGUAAUACUGCCUGAGCUUGCAGGAAGCAUGGAUGGAUUCUCCCUCCAUAAAAAUUCUCCAUAUCAUUUGUGUAUAAUUUUGGGAUACGAGACAUUCUCCUUUCAUUUUUGUGUGGGUUCAUCAUUUCACUUAAUUGUGCUGGAUUAAUCUCUUUGCUACAGUUUCUGACAGGAUUGCUUUAAGCCUGUUCGUAUAGGCUGAGCAGAACCUGCCCGUGCAUAAUGUACAUUUUCUGCACUUUAGAUGCAGAACACCAAAGCACGGAUCUUUGUGUUACAGUGAUGUAACAUCAAAGGUUUCAAAUCUGCUGAGCCACUUCCUUAAAAAUAUCUGUGUCCUUCGUUGCCCUUUUCUCUUGUGCUUUGGAUUUGCCCCUCCAAGAAGAAACCUUUUUUUCUUUUCACACUGGAAGGAAGGAAAGUGAAAAUAAAGCAUUUGACUUACUGUAUGGACACAAUUCAAUUAGCUACACAAGUGUGUACGUUUGUGUGCAGCUACAUGCAUGUGUGUUUGCGCGUUUUCUCUUUAAGGCUCCUUUAUUUCCAGUCAAGAAAAGAGGGACACGUCUAUAGACAAUACAAAGCAGACAAAGAGGGGGAAAAAAUGAAAAUCACUGGGUGCUUUGUUCUUCGCUCUCUGCUCCAGCCGAGCGCUCUCUGACCGCAGCUGAGCUUUUCCAUGUUCCUCUGUCUCUCCGACUUUCCUUCUCCUGUCUCUCUCUCUCUGGUUGUCAUGGAUAGCUGGGUAACGUGGAGCUCCCUGUGCUGACCAGCAGGGCCGCAGAUUGAGCCUCCCCGGCCCCCACUCCCACCCCGUCCUCCCGCGGAGAGACAGAGCGGCCUUUAAGAUUGACCCCCUGCUGGGGUUUGGGAAGGUUGGAGGUGGAGGGGGGGACGCUCUCUCUUGUCUCCGUGCACUCCAUCCCCUCCCUUGUCUCCCUCUGCCUCACCCUCCAACCUUCACCCUUCCCUCCAAAUGAAAUGAGUGCACGCCAGGAGACCCAUGUGUGUGCCUGUGGGUGUGUGUGUGUGUGUGUGUGUGUGUAUGCGUGUGCAUGUAAAGCUCCCCCAGUAGGCUGCCGCUGGCAUGGAGGGGCAAAAGCCCUCCACUCAGCGGUUGGUCCUCCCCCCACCCCCGUCCCCCCUCCUCGUUUCUGCCGGUAAAUACAAAGAGUGGGAAAAAAGCCCACAUUACAAGCUCCUUAAGGGUCAAGGACAGGCCCCACUCUGAAUAGCUUCUAAGAGUCGUAUUGUUGAAUCACAUAGCUAGCGAUUACACCCUCUGUCAUCUCCACACGGAUUUGGCUUUUUUAUACACACAACAAGAGAACAUCAAGUAGCAGCCACUGAAUAAGUCGGCCAACAGACAUGCAGUGGGAAUUGAUACAGACAGGACAUCAAUGGAAUAAACCGAGGGCAGAUGUAGAAUUACAGCCUCCAAAAUGGGGAUUUGGCUUAAAGAUUUCAUACCUUAGCAGCGGUCGUUUUUACAGUGAUAUGGAAUGCGAGAGCGCUGAGAUUGUGACACAGAAAAUGAGGUGCCAGAAGUGUGCGUGUUUUCAUAAAUACAUUCUGCAUGUGUUGCUCUGGUUACGCUGUCUCCCUGCAAAAUCCACCUUUGAUCUACCCAUGCAUACAGUAUAUGCCAUUGUGUACUCUUCACCCGCUAUUAUGUGAGUUGUUCUUUCAUUUCAAUAGAUCUGAGGCAUAACUGGAUGGAGCUGCAUGUUUUCUGAUAACCAAAAACAAGGUAUCACAGUCUAUGAAAACUGGGUUUAAAGGAGACAAAACUUUUUAGGUAUUUUAUUUUUUCUUGUUUUAACCCUAUCUAAAGACACAGAUAAGUGGCAAAUUAAAGGAAAAACUAAAAGAAAAUGCCUUAUUACGGUGAAGGGCCACCACCAAAACCGCUUCGGACUACUAAAGGGUACCACUUCUCCAAAAGAUAUUUUUUCAUUCAGAGAUUUGAUGAUGAAAACUUUCCAAAAUCUCCCAUUUGUGGUCACGUUGCUUGAGAUCUGGUGACUGUGAAGGCCAAACAUACAAUUGUAGUGACCCUUUGUAUCCUAUAAAUAGGGGUAUCUUCAAAGGAACCACUAACAUCAGGUUCGAAAAAUUAAUAAUGAUCUGUCAAGAAAACUUUGUAUUGAUUUGCAGUGACUCUUGCCUCUAAUGGGACAAAUAGACCCAAAUAAUUCAAGCAAAAUACCCUUAUAGCAUAACAAAGCAACUGGAUCGCCUCAAUGCAGAAGUCAAAGGAACAGGUUUUCCCUUUAAUUUGUCAACGGCCUUUACAUAAUAUUGUAAAAAAAUCCAGAGGAUGAGCAUCAUCUUGGUCUGCAUCUUCCUUACACCCCUCAAAAGCAAUCACUGGGUCUCUCUAUAAUAUAACAUUGUAAGGUCUUGACUUUUCUAAGCGGAGUGCCCUGACAUUAAAUUAAAACUAUGUAAUUAAGAGUGCUGUGGAAAACUAGAAACAUCUUCACCACUUUUUUUUUAAUUUUAUUUUUUAAUUUAAUAAAGAGUCUUCAUCAAUAGUAGUUGUAUUUCUCCAGAGUAGCACUGUCAUAUUCAGUAAAUAACCCAAGGCAUCUGGUAUGAAAGCUAGUAAAUCUCAUGGCAAGUGAGGUGACAUUAUGUGUAAUUUAGAGAUGCAACUAAUGAUUGUGUUGAUUGUCUAUUAAUUUGUCAUUUGCUUUCUCAUUUAAUAAGUUCGUUGUCUGGUCAAUGAAGUCUCAUUAAAUGGUGAAACAUGUAGAUUGUAGAUCAGCGUUUCCCAAAGCCAAAGAUGACGUCUUCAAAUGUAUUGUUUUGUCCAUAACCCAAAGAUAGUAAGGAGUGCAACUGUCAUUGCUCAUAUGUUCAGAGUGGUAAAUUAAUUUAGGAGUACAGUGUGCACAGGCCGAAAGUCAAAUUUUUGAACAUUUUCUAACAUUAUUGUGUAUUUGUGUGAUCUGUUACAGUCUAUAAAAUAUGUGAAGUGCUAUGAGAUGGCAUAUGUUUUGAAUUGGUGCUAUAUAAAUAAAAUUGAACUGAAUUGAA